UGGCUCAGGACGACGCUGGCGGCGUGCCUAACACAUGCAAGUCGAACGAGGUCCAUGCAGUGGCAACACUGCGGAAGACCUAGUGGCGAACGGGUGAGUAACACGUGAGGAACCUGCCCCGAAGACCGGGAUAACCCUCCGAAAGGAGAGCUAAUACCGGAUACCCCCACCUGGUCGCAUGGCCGGGUGAGGAAAUGGAUUCCGCUUCGGGAGGGCCUCGCGGCCUAUCAGCUAGUUGGUGAGGUAACGGCUCACCAAGGCAUCGACGGGUAGCUGGUCUGAGAGGACGAUCAGCCACACUGGGACUGAGACACGGCCCAGACUCCUACGGGAGGCAGCAGUGGGGAAUCUUGCGCAAUGGGCGAAAGCCUGACGCAGCAACGCCGCGUGGGGAUGAAGGCUCUCGGGUUGUAAACCCCUUUCAGCAGGGACGAAAUUGACGGUACCUGCAGAAGAAGCCCCGGCUAACUACGUG
This 475-nucleotide ribosomal RNA is filed under the name uncultured bacterium. Its description in RNAcentral is "bacterial SSU rRNA". It matches the Rfam family "Bacterial small subunit ribosomal RNA", at positions 20 to 507 of the family's 1533-position model. The record is from RNAcentral.